AGAAUACAAUCUGGAGAGUGGUGACGGCCUGAUGGCUGUUGCCCACCGAAGGAGAAAGUGACGGCAUGGCAGCUUGUUAAGUUGUUUGCCUGAACCAAACUCUCAGGUUUCACGACAGAUGGGGUCAU
This 128-nucleotide non-coding RNA is filed under the name Ahrensia sp. R2A130. Its description in RNAcentral is "Glycine riboswitch aptamer". It matches the Rfam family "Glycine riboswitch aptamer". Rfam says of the family: This family represents the bacterial glycine riboswitch. Glycine riboswitches usually consist of two metabolite-binding aptamers domains with similar structures in tandem. Lineage: Bacteria; Pseudomonadati; Pseudomonadota; Alphaproteobacteria; Hyphomicrobiales; Ahrensiaceae. The record is from Rfam by way of RNAcentral. RNAcentral also lists the same sequence under 1 other name.